UACGUAGGGUGCGAGCGUUGUCUGGAAUUAUUGGGCGUAAAGAGCUUGUAGGCGGUUUGCCGCGUCUGCUGUGAAAAUCCGGGGCUCAACCCCGGACUUGCAGUGGGUACGGGCAGACUAGAGUGUGGUAGGGGGAGACUGGAAUUCCUGGUGUAGCGGUGAAAUGCGCAGAUAUCAGGAGGAACACCGAUGGCGAAGGCAGGUCUCUGGGCCACUACUGACGCUGAGAAGCGAAAGCAUGGGGAGCGAACAGG
RNAcentral lists this ribosomal RNA (254 nucleotides) under uncultured bacterium. Its description in RNAcentral is "partial 16S ribosomal RNA". It matches the Rfam family "Bacterial small subunit ribosomal RNA", at positions 524 to 776 of the family's 1533-position model. The record is from RNAcentral.